GUCUACGGCCAUACCAGGCUGAACUCACCCAAUCUCGCCUGAUCUCAAAAGCUAAGUAUGGUCAGGCCUGGUUAGUACUUGGAUGGGAGAAUUUAUCAAAUGACUAGAGAAAGUUGCUA
RNAcentral lists this ribosomal RNA (119 nucleotides) under Prolemur simus (greater bamboo lemur). Lineage: Eukaryota; Metazoa; Chordata; Mammalia; Primates; Lemuridae. The record is from RNAcentral.